This 468-nucleotide ribosomal RNA is filed under the name uncultured bacterium. RNAcentral's name for it is "partial 16S ribosomal RNA". It matches the Rfam family "Bacterial small subunit ribosomal RNA", at positions 28 to 507 of the family's 1533-position model. The record is from RNAcentral.
GACGAACGCUGGCGGCGUGCUUAACACAUGCCAGUCGAACGGAAAGGCCCUGCUUUUGUGGGGUGCUCGAGUGGCGAACGGGUGAGUAACACGUGAGUAACCUGCCCUUGACUUUGGGAUAACUUCAGGAAACUGGGGCUAAUACCGGAUAGGAGCUCCUGCUGCAUGGUGGGGGUUGGAAAGUUUCGGCGGUUGGGGAUGGACUCGCGGCUUAUCAGCUUGUUGGUGGGGUAGUGGCUUACCAAGGCUUUGACGGGUAGCCGGCCUGAGAGGGUGACCGGCGACAAUGGGACUGAGAUACGGCCCAGACGCCUACGGGAGGCAGCAGUGGGGAAUAUUGCACAAUGGGCGGAAGCCUGAUGCAGCAACGCCGGGUGCGGGAUGACGGCCUGCGGGUUGUAAACCGCUUUCGCCUGUGACGAAGCGUGAGUGACGGUAAUGGGUAAAGAAGCACCGGCUAACUACGUG